GACGAACGCUGGCGGCGUGCUUAACACAUGCCAGUCGAACGGAAAGGCCCUGCUUUUGUGGGGUGCUCGAGUGGCGAACGGGUGAGUAACACGUGAGUAACCUGCCCUUGACUUUGGGAUAACUUCAGGAAACUGGGGCUAAUACCGGAUAGGAGCUCCUGCUGCAUGGUGGGGGUUGGAAAGUUUCGGCGGUUGGGGAUGGACUCGCGGCUUAUCAGCUUGUUGGUGGGGUAGUGGCUUACCAAGGCUUUGACGGGUAGCCGGCCUGAAAGGGUGACCGGCCACAUUGGGACUGAGAUACGGCCCAGACUCCUACGGGAGGCAGCAGUGGGGAAUAUUGCACAAUGGGCGGAAGCCUGAUGCAGCAACGCCGCGUGCGGGAUGACGGCCUUCGGGUUGUAAACCGCUUUCGCCUGUGACGAAGCGUGAGUGACGGUAAUGGGUAAAGAAGCACCGGCUAACUACGUG
Molecule: ribosomal RNA, 468 nt
Filed under: uncultured bacterium
Lineage: Bacteria
Description: partial 16S ribosomal RNA
Rfam family: Bacterial small subunit ribosomal RNA
Source: RNAcentral